ACCACGCCUAGCGAGUCGCGACGCGAAAACCGGAUUCCCCCUUUCCGGCCCGGCGUGGUUCCCUUUCAAGGG
This 72-nucleotide small RNA is filed under the name Methylomagnum ishizawai. RNAcentral's name for it is "int-alpA RNA". It matches the Rfam family "int-alpA RNA". From Rfam's summary of the family: Acidobacteria (1 example), Planctomycetes (1 example), Proteobacteria. The record is from Rfam by way of RNAcentral. Lineage: Bacteria; Pseudomonadati; Pseudomonadota; Gammaproteobacteria; Methylococcales; Methylococcaceae.